Molecule: ribosomal RNA, 497 nt
Filed under: uncultured bacterium
Lineage: Bacteria
Description: partial 16S ribosomal RNA
Rfam family: Bacterial small subunit ribosomal RNA
Source: RNAcentral
GAUGAACGCUGGCGGCGUGCCUAAUACAUGCAAGUCGAGCGAACAGACGAGGAGCUUGCUCCUCUGACGUUAGCGGCGGACGGGUGAGUAACACGUGGAUAACCUACCUAUAAGACUGGGAUAAAUUCGGGAAACCGGAGCUAAUACCGGAUAAUAUAUUGAACCGCAUGGUUCAAUAGUGAAAGACGGUUUUGCUGUCACUUAUAGAUGGAUCCGCGCCGCAUUAGCUAGUUGGUAGGGUAACGGCUUACCAAGGCAACGAUGCGUAGCCGACCUGAGAGGGUGAUCGGCCACACUGGAACUGAGACACGGUCCAGACUCCUACGGGAGGCAGCAGUAGGGAAUCUUCCGCAAUGGGCGAAAGCCUGACGGAGCAACGCCGCGUGAGUGAUGAAGGUCUUCGGAUCGUAAAACUCUGUUGUUAGGGAAGAACAAAUGUGUAAGUAACUAUGCACGUCUUGACGGUACCUAAUCAGAAAGCCACGGCUAACUACGUG